GAUGAACGCUGGCGGCGUGCCUAAUACAUGCAAGUCGAGCGAACAGACGAGGAGCUUGCUCCUCUGACGUUAGCGGCGGACGGGUGAGUAACACGUGGAUAACCUACCUAUAAGACUGGGAUAACUUCGGGAAACCGGAGCUAAUACCGGAUAAUAUAUUGAACCGCAUGGUUCAAUAGUGAAAGACGGUUUUGCUGUCCCUUAUAGAUGGAUCCGCGCCGCAUUAGCUAGUUGGUAAGGUAACGGCUUACCAAGGCAACGAUGCGUAGCCGACCUGAGAGGGUGAUCGGCCACACUGGAACUGAGACACGGUCCAGACUCCGACGGGAGGCAGCAGUAGGGAAUCUUCCGCAAUGGGCGAAAGCCUGACGGAGCAACGCCGCGUGAGUGAUGAAGGUCUUCGGAUCGUAAAACGCUGUUAUUAGGGAAGAACAAAUGUGUAAGUAACUAUGCACGUCUUGACGGUACCUAAUCAGAAAGCCACGGCUAACUACGUG
Molecule: ribosomal RNA, 497 nt
Filed under: uncultured bacterium
Lineage: Bacteria
Description: partial 16S ribosomal RNA
Rfam family: Bacterial small subunit ribosomal RNA
Source: RNAcentral